AAAAUAGGAUGAUGUAAUCUCCCAAAGCUAGAGAAUAUUGAGAAUAUUGACUGUUUCCAUGCUGCUGAAAGAUUAAGAUGAGGACAGGUGACUUUGACAAGCAGCCGUUUCAAUAAAUGGUCACCAUGGAUCCCUGACUGUAGUGGAUGGGCAUAGACAGCGUUUGAGAGAACUUGGACUGAGAGGCAAUAGGCCUACUAAGAAAACAUCUAAUGAAAAGAACAAGGUCAAAAACCAAAUACAGUCUAUGGAUGAUGUUGAUGACUUAACUCAGUCAUCUGAAACAGCCUCAGAGGAUUGUGAGCUGCCCCACUCUAGUUACAAGAAUUUUAUGUUGCUCAUUGAACAACUUGGAAUGGAGUGUAAAGAUUCUGUUAGCCUAUUGAAAAUCCAGGAUGCAGCUCUUUCAUGUGAAAGAUUAUUAGAACUUAAAAAAAAUCACUGUGAAGUACUUACAGUAAAAAUUAAAAAAAUGGAAGAUAAGGUUAAUGUACUACAAAGGGAGCUAUCUGAAACAAAAGAAAUAAAAUCACAGUUAGAGCAUCAAAAAGUUGAAUGGGAACGAGAACUGUGCUCUUUGAG
RNAcentral lists this small RNA (582 nucleotides) under Pongo abelii (Sumatran orangutan). RNAcentral's name for it is "processed transcript". Lineage: Eukaryota; Metazoa; Chordata; Mammalia; Primates; Hominidae. The record is from RNAcentral.